Molecule: ribosomal RNA, 256 nt
Filed under: uncultured bacterium
Lineage: Bacteria
Description: partial 16S ribosomal RNA
Rfam family: Bacterial small subunit ribosomal RNA
Source: RNAcentral
UACGUAGGGGGCAAGCGUUGUCCGGAUUUAUUGGGCGUAAAGAGCGUGUAGGCGGCCAGGUAGGUCAGCUGUGAAAACUCGAGGCUCAACCUCGAGACGCCGGUUGAAACCAUCAGACUAGAGUCCGGAAGAGGAGAGUGGAAUUCCUGGUGUAGCGGUGAAAUGCGCAGAUAUCAGGAGGAACACCGGUGGCGAAGGCGGGUCUCUGGGCCGUAACUGACGCUGGAGGAGCGGAAAGCAUGGGGAGCGAAACAGG